RNAcentral lists this non-coding RNA (204 nucleotides) under Marinilactibacillus sp. RNAcentral's name for it is "T-box sequence". It matches the Rfam family "T-box leader". Rfam says of the family: Uncharged tRNA acts as the effector for transcription antitermination of genes in the T-box leader family. T-boxes are found upstream of many aminoacyl-tRNA synthetase genes and some amino acid biosynthetic genes usually in Gram-positive bacteria. Lineage: Bacteria; Bacillati; Bacillota; Bacilli; Lactobacillales; Carnobacteriaceae. The record is from RNAcentral.
AAAUAAGCGAUGAAUGGGCAUAGUAGUUUAUCUGUCACUGUCUUAGAAAGCGAAUGGCUGCUGGAAAUUCGCACAUACAGAUCAAAUGAAGUACACCUUGGAGCUUUCCUCUACAGGCGCUACCCAGCGUUAUGGGAAUAAGUGAAAAUGGUCUGUUUCGUCCAUUUUAAUCAGGGUGGUACCACGGCGCUGUUCGUCCCGGUA